This is an RNA transcript of Nycticebus coucang (slow loris), 1445 nucleotides long. It is a transcript of the gene named translation initiation factor IF-2-like, with no coding region annotated. NCBI's taxonomy places the organism in Eukaryota, Metazoa, Chordata, Mammalia, Primates, Lorisidae. The transcript has 2 exons. The record is from RefSeq and is a predicted model, not a curated record.
GCCCUGCCCAGUGACCCUCCUCGCUCUGUGGAUGCCACACGUGCCGGUCUCCAGGAAGGAUGGAUGGGUCGCGUAGCUCCCACACCCAGCUGUCGCUCUUGUUUUCACCGGACACCAUGGGUGGGCGAGCCAGGGAAGCAGGCGCGGGCCGCGGUGCGGCAGGACGAAGCGGGCACCACUGCCCCGCACAGGGGGCUCCCUCGCCGGCCCGGGGCCCCUCCGCUCCCGCCAGGAACUGCGCCCUGGUCCCCAGCGCCCCAAGGAGCAGGUGGCGUUUGCACACAGGAAGCAGCUCACGUUGCGGUCCCCGCACAGCGUCCCCAGGCGCCUGCGGACCCGCCGCCCCGGCACGCCGGGCUCCUUCCCCGAGCGCCUCGAAUUUACACUCCUGGGCCUGGGGAGGUGACACCGACAGCUCCGCCUUCCGGCUGGGGGUUCGUCCUGCGGGCGCCAUCCACGUCCGCUUGUCUAUUUGGAGCGCGCCCCGCCCGACCCGAGCACAGGCCGGGCGCUCUCGGCCGCUGUGUCUCCACCGGGGCGCGCGUUUCCCCGCUCUCCGGGCGCCUCCCUCAGCCCCUGGUCAGGCUCCGAGCCCGCAGCGGGGAGACCGCCCGCCCCACCCCGGCCCACCGCGGCCCCGGACGGCCCGGCGCCCUGGGCGCCCCCCGCAGGCCGGGCACCUGCUGCGACUCCCUUUAGGAAGGUGCUGGGGACGCGCAGGGGAGGAGAAGAAACGCCAAGUGUUUACAUACAGUAAACAAAGGCCUGGCCGAGGUCUAGCAAAGGGAGUGUGUGCGAACCGGGGCGGUGGGGAGGUGGGAUCCCCCUGCGCCUUUCCUGCCCUCUGCGUCUGAGAAGGGCGAGUUUCCUGGUAGCUUGAAAUAGUCCUGCUCCCUCAACUUGUACCAACAUAAAUGUACGGGUUGGUGUUAUAAACACUUUCCCCUUCUUCAGCACUUACGGGGUCUCAGGAAACUCUGUCCGCCUCAAAAUAGGUACACGUAAGGGGGAAAAGCCUUAUUUCUAAUGAUUGAGGUGUGCUUUCUCUAGUUUUAUUUAAUUUAUUUUAUUUUGUUUUGUUUUUUGAGACAGAGUCUCACUGUCCUGUCCUAGGUAGAGUGCUGUGCCGUCAUAGCUCACAGCAACCUCAAACUCUUCCCCUACAGUAAUCCUCCUGCCUCAGCCUCCUGAGUAGCUGGGACUACAGGCACCUGCCACAACGCCUGGCUAGUUUUUCUAUUUUUAGUAAAGACAGGGUCUCCCUCUUGCUCAGGCUUGUCUGGAGCUCCUGACCUCAAGCAAUCCACCUGCUUUGGCCUGCCAGAGUUCUGGGAUUACAGACAUGAGCCACCACACGCGUUCUGAGGUCUGGGAAGGGGAGGACAGGAGGCCUUGGACAAUGCUGGGCUCAAGCUGGCCAGACCAUAUGGGCUGGAAUAAAACAU